GACGAACGCUGGCGGCGUGCUUAACACAUGCAAGUCGAACGGAAAGGCCCUGCUUUUGUGGGGUGCUCGAGUGGCGACCGGGUGAGUAACACGUGAGUAACCUGCCCUUGACUUUGGGAUAACUUCAGGAAACUGGGGCUAAUACCGGAUAGGAGCUCCUGCUGCAUGGUGGGGGUUGGAAAGUUUCGGCGGUUGGGGAUGGACUCGCGGCUUAUCAGCUUGUUGGUGGGGUAGUGGCUUACCAAGGCUUUGACGGGUAGCCGGCCUGAGAGGGUGACCGGCCACAUUGGGACUGAGAUACGGCACAGACUCCUACGGGAGGCAGCAGUGGGGAAUAGUGCACAAUGGGCGGAAGCCUGAUGCAGCAACGCCGCGUGCGGGAUGACGGCCUGCGGGUUGGAAACCGCUUUCGCCUGUGACGAAGCGUGAGUGACGGUAAUGGGUAAAGAAGCACCGGCUAACUACGUG
This 468-nucleotide ribosomal RNA is filed under the name uncultured bacterium. RNAcentral's name for it is "partial 16S ribosomal RNA". It matches the Rfam family "Bacterial small subunit ribosomal RNA", at positions 28 to 507 of the family's 1533-position model. The record is from RNAcentral.